UCUCUCUGUUGGAACACAACUUGGCUAUAGUUUUCUAACAGCCUUGUCUACACAUGUAACCAGUUUACUCUUAAGUCCCUGGAUUAGUUAGUCAAAAGGUGCUCUAGAGAAACAGAACCAAAGAAUGUGUAUACAGAGGCAUAUUUAUUUCAAAGAAUUGGCUCAUGUAAUUGUGAAAGCUUGGUUAAGGCCAAAAUUAAGCAGGGCAGAGACUUAGGAAAGAGUUGCAGUUGUGUUCAAAAGCAGUCAGCUGGCUGAAUUUAUCCUCACUUGGAAAAGGAUUCUGUCCCUAUAGUCCUCUCAAGCAGCAGUUUACUUCUAAAUGUUGAAUCCAAUCGUAAUUUCUCAGAAAUUAUCUUACUCAGCCUGCAAGCAACAUUUGACAAAUUUGAUUCUCUCAGUUAAGCAAGUAAAGUUGAGGAUGUAUUGUCAGAUCCUUGUACAGAAGAAAAGAAGUGAAAAUAAUGAAAACAAUGGCAAGAGAAGUUACUAUUUCCCAGAGGAAAAACGCUGCUGUAAAAGGAGCUCAUAUAUUUUAGCUGUGGUGUUAAUUUUGAAGUCAGCAUGAGUCAUUAAAUUAAAGUAUUGUAAUUUGGAAAUAUAUUUAAAAUGAAAAGAAAUAAAAAAGAGUACUAGAAAA
RNAcentral lists this long non-coding RNA (640 nucleotides) under Homo sapiens (human). RNAcentral's name for it is "HSALNT0403361". The record is from RNAcentral. Lineage: Eukaryota; Metazoa; Chordata; Mammalia; Primates; Hominidae.